AGAGUUUGAUUCCUGGGCUCAGAACGAACGCCUGGGCGGGCAUGCCUAACACAUGCAAGUUCGAACGCGUGGCUUCGGCCACGAGUGGCGCACGGGGUGAGUAGCGCGUGGGAACCUGCCCUUUGGUUCGGAAUAACCGCGGGAAACUGCGGCUAAUACCGGAUGUACCCUACGGGGGAAAGAUUUAUUAUCCCCAAGGAAGGGCCCCCCUUCCAAUAAGUUAUUGGUUAAGUUACCGCCCCCCCAAGCCUGUAAUCGGUACCUGGUCUGAAAGGAUGAUCAGCCCACACUGGGGACUGAGACACGGGCCCAGGCUCCUACGGGGAGGCAGCAGUGGGGGAAUAUUGGACAAUGGGGGCAACCCUGAUCCAGCAAUGCCGCGUGAGUGAUGAACGGCCUUCGGGUUGUAAAGCUCCUUCGCCCACGACGAUGGUGACCGU
Molecule: ribosomal RNA, 440 nt
Filed under: uncultured bacterium
Lineage: Bacteria
Description: bacterial SSU rRNA
Rfam family: Bacterial small subunit ribosomal RNA
Source: RNAcentral